UGGGGAAUAUUGCACAAUGGGCGCAAGCCUGAUGCAGCCAUGCCGCGUGUGUGAAGAAGGCCUUCGGGUUGUAAAGCACUUUCAGCGAGGAGGAAGGUGGUGAACUUAAUACGUUCAUCAAUUGACGUUACUCGCAGAAGAAGCACCGGCUAACUCCGUGCCAGCAGCCACGGUAAUACGGAGGGUGCAAGCGUUAAUCGGAAUUACUGGGCGUAAAGCGCACGCAGGCGGUUUGUUAAGUCAGAUGUGAAAUCCCCGGGCUCAACCUGGGAACUGCAUUUGAAACUGGCAAGCUAGAGUCUCGUAGAGGGGGGUAGAAUUCCAGGUGUAGCGGUGAAAUGCGUAGAGAUCUGGAGGAAUACCGGUGGCGAAGGCGGCCCCCUGGACGAAGACUGACGCUCAGGUGCGAAAGCGUGGGGAGCAAACAGGAUUAGAUACCCUGGUAGUCCACGCUGUAAACGAUGUCGAUUUUGGAGGUUGUGCCCUUGAGGCGUGGCUUCCGGAGCUAACGCGUUAAAUCGACCGCCUGGGGAGUACGGCCGCAAGGUUAAAACUCAAAUGAAUUGACGGGGUCAUAGCUG
Molecule: ribosomal RNA, 581 nt
Filed under: uncultured bacterium
Lineage: Bacteria
Description: partial 16S ribosomal RNA
Rfam family: Bacterial small subunit ribosomal RNA
Source: RNAcentral